AGGUAGUUGGGCUUCUUUUAUGUCUCUUAGCAGUGUUUAUUCAGAACAGCUUUGGUUUGUUCUUUAAGCAGCUGACUUGUUUUAUUCAGCGAUGUGUUCUGUUCCUCAGGUGGGUUCCACAGGAAUCCUUGGUGAGAUCAUGUAAGGUGGCCACGUAAUGGGUGCCUAGGACUGCAGGCUCCGCUGGAUCUGUCUGCAAUAAUUCCUCAGCCCAGUCGUGCUUUGAUAGACCUCACCUGGGAGCAGUCAUAAAGACAGAAGGGCAGCAAGCUCCUGCUUCAUACCUCAGUAACCCACAGCCUCCCCCUGUGCACAUGACUCCCACAGAUGCAGUAAAACCUGAUUUAAGUGCCAGCAGAGAGAGACUGCUUGGAGGGGAACUUGGCACCAUGUUUCUUGGCCUCUCCAAAUCUGGAUUAUGA
RNAcentral lists this long non-coding RNA (422 nucleotides) under Zonotrichia albicollis (white-throated sparrow). RNAcentral describes it as "lncRNA (ENSZALG00000010865.1)". The record is from RNAcentral. Lineage: Eukaryota; Metazoa; Chordata; Aves; Passeriformes; Passerellidae.